CCUACGGGUGGCAGCAGUAGGGAAUCUUUCACAAUGGGCGAAAGCCUGAUGGAGCAACGCCGCGUGCAGGAUGAAGGCCUUCGGGUUGUAAACUGCUUUUAUAAGCGAGAAAUAUGAUGGUAACUUAUGAAUAAGGAUCGGCUAACUACGUGCCAGCAGCCGCGGUCAUACGUAGGAUCCGAGCAUUAUCCGGAGUGACUGGGUGUAAAGAGUUGCGUAGGUGGCAUAAUAAGUAGCUAGUGAAAUCUGGUGGCUCAAACAUUCAGACUAUUAGCUAAACUGUUAAGCUCGAGACCGUUAGGGGUAACUGGAAUUUCUAGUGUAGGAGUGAAAUCCGUAGAUAUUAGAAGGAACACCAGUAGCGUAGGCAGGUUGCUGGGACGGUUCUGACACUGAGGCACGAAAGCGUAGGGAGCAAACGGGAUUAGAUACCCCAGUAGUC
This 442-nucleotide ribosomal RNA is filed under the name uncultured bacterium. Its description in RNAcentral is "partial 16S ribosomal RNA". It matches the Rfam family "Bacterial small subunit ribosomal RNA", at positions 338 to 795 of the family's 1533-position model. The record is from RNAcentral.